This is an RNA transcript of Quercus robur (English oak), 1467 nucleotides long. RefSeq lists it as uncharacterized. NCBI's taxonomy places the organism in Eukaryota, Viridiplantae, Streptophyta, Magnoliopsida, Fagales, Fagaceae. The transcript has 5 exons. The record is from RefSeq and is a predicted model, not a curated record.
GCCACUUUCUACCACUACGGAAUAUUUAUUUUAUUUUGUAAGAUGGAAGAUCAUUUUUUUUCCUUUCCUGUUAGUUACUAUCUUUGAUUAAAUAUUCAUAUUUUGGAAUGUGUUUUGCUUGCAAUUUUACUUACUCGGCAAUGGCAUGGGGAGACUGGAGAGUAAGGAUUGGGGGUUACACACUGCAUUGAGUGAUGCCAGAGAAAUUUAUGCAAAAAAAACUUACCAACUUCAUUGGAAAGCGACUCAAGUCAGAAAGGGCUGCUUCUAUUUGGACAAGCAUAUUGCAACGAACUAUUGAAAUGGCCAGAAAUUUAGAAAUAGUUUGUUAAGUGAUGUUGUAGAGACUUAUGGCUUGAAAUGGCUAAAAGAUUUAGGUCCUACAUAUUUUGGAAUAAACGUAACAAAAGUAUGAUUUAACUUAGACAGGGAAGCCAUUUAGACCUGGAACCCUGAGGGUUUGCAUGGACUUGAUGUUAUCGACCACCUUUUCUGCAAUAGAAAGUAGUCAGCUCAACAUUCUCAAUCUCAUCAUUGCACUGCUGAAAGAAACCUUCAAAUCCUCUAGCCAAGAAGGAUUGGAUGAGGUAUUUGGUGCAUGCCAAUGGAAUCUAUGCCAGCUAUUCCCUUCUUUCAACCAUCAUUGUAGCCAUGCCUCACCCCACUCCACGAUUGUUUUCAAAACCUUAACUAAUUGUACUUAGAAUCAUCAUAAAAGCAAGAAUUAAAUCUUUAAUUCUGGCUGCUGGAGACACAACCAUUACUUGAAGUGCAGCUUGUGGGUCUUUAGGUGCAUUUUGUCACGAGGCCAUAACAUUUUAUAGCCCCGAAAUUUGUUGUAGUGGCUUGCUAUGCAGUGCUGUGAAUCAUUUCCUUAUAUGAACUUUUCAGCAGAUAUGUUCACCUGUGGCUAACUCCAGCAAGGACAUUGACAAUUCUGCCUUCCAAGGCUGACCACAAUUGUGUUCUUACAGUAUAUGUAUCUAACGUGACGUCCUGCUCAUACCAUAUAUACAUAUAUAUGCUUGAUGGCCAUUAGUGGUGCUGUUUGUAAUCUUGCUAGUUUUGUGUAUGAUUUAUGUUACUUGUUUUUGCUACUCAUAUGUAAGAAGUUUUCAUUUUCAGGUUCCAGAUAUUUAUAGUUUUGAUAAUUAUCAUUGCUAUAGAAUUCACUCUUUUGAAGAGAAAGCAAUGGUCAAAUAUUGUACUUUAGGACCUGCAUUAGCAUUACCAAACCGGUGCAAGUUCAUCUAGUCCUGAGUGAUUUUUAGUACAGGUUAAUCAGAAGCCACUAUUACAUUUUACCGUCAUUGGUUCCCUGAAAGCAUGAGACAAGCCCAAUCACGAGAGUAUUUCUGUCAUGGUGAUGCAAGUGUAAUGUAAUAUAAUGAACAGGUAAAGUUGGCCAACCAAUAACCAUAUUUGAUUAUCAUAUGAAAUGGACAGCUACCAGUGAACCUUAAGUUA